GUAUUGUUAAUUUCUUUGAAAACCUAUUUCAGCUAUUGUUCAAAAGCGCACUUUAUUUAUAAUAAAGUGGUAUUUAAUUUAUACGAUGCGAUUAGUUUUAUUUGAAAUUUAAUUGUACAAAACAGCUUACACUUCGUUCAUUUAUAAGAGGACAAAAAAGGAAAUACUGUCGGCCUGCGUCAUUCGCCGAUUAUAAUGCAUGAAUGAUUAUUUUGCUAUUCUGAUAUUCUCACUUGAAUAUCAAACGCACCUUUGUAUCGGUUGUUAAGUUUUAUAUUCAAACAAUUAUAUUAAGUCAAUAUUCUGUACUUAUAUAAUACAGAAUUUAUACGGAUUCUUACCAAGAGUCUUUAACACGUUUAGUGCAACAUACGGUUUUUAUAAAUAUUUUUCAAAAUAUCUUAACCAAUCUUUUAGAUUCUGUUCAAUAAUUGUAACUUGUAACAAGUUAUUAUUGUAUCUGUUAGGUUUUGAAAGCUAAUUCUUAAAAUGAAAGACGGCAGCAGAUUGUUAUCAGUUCUCUUAAGGGUUUCUGAGAAAGCAGCAAAUAUUGCAAGAGCUUGCAGGUAUAAUGAAGCUUUGUUUAAAUUGUUAGUACAAGAAAAAUCAGAGGAAGAGAAGAAUCCUCGCUUCUUUCAAGAUUUCAAAACCUUGGCUGAUGUUCUUAUACAAGAAACCAUUAAACAUGAGAUUGGAUUAGAGUUUUCAGAAUUGGCCAAAGUAGUACAAGGAGAAGAAAGUAAUACAUUCAGCAAUGCUAUGGGUGAAACUAUAGUGGUCAAAGUUUGUUCUACUACUGAAGAAACAACUCAGUUAUUAGCCAAGGUGAUGGGCAGUGACAUUGAAACUGCAGAAUUAUUGGCUACAGAAGUUCAUAAAGAUGUCCAGUUGUCAGACAUUCCAGUGGUAGCAGAAUUACCACUUGAUUUUGAUAUUAAUGUUAAUGAUCUUGGUAUAUGGAUUGAUCCAAUUGAUUCAACUGCAGAUUAUAUAAAUGGAGGUGAAAAUGUGGAUGGUGUUACUGGUAUACAUAUGAGUGGUUUACGCUGUGUCACUGUCUUAAUUGGAGCAUACUUGAAAGGCACAGGUGUACCAGUUGUGGGAGUAAUUAAUCAACCGUUUUACACGAACUUGGACUCACAGUGGAAAGGAAACUGCUAUUGGGGAUUUGUGGGAAAUGAUAUUAGAAAAUGUUCUAUAGACCAAGAAUCCAUUGAUAAAAAAAUUAUCGUUCUUAGUAGAGUGGAAGAUGCUAAUGUAAAAUCGAAGCUAUUAGACGCUGGAUUUACGUUAGUAGAAGCGGCCGGGGCAGGUUAUAAAAUACUAAGCGUUGCUCUUGGACAUGUUGAUGCUUACAUUUUAUCCAAAGGCUCCACAUAUAAGUGGGACACUUGUGGUCCUCAAGCUCUUUUACGUUCUUUGAAUGGAGGUAUUAUCGAAUUUCAAAAUUUUAUCAAAGAUCCUGAUUCAGAUUACGUGGAUGUAAAAUAUUUGUCUACGUCUUUCAAUUUUUCAAAUACCAAUGGCUUAAUAGCAUAUAGGAAUUUUGAAAUUUUGUCAACUUUGAAAUCUAUUUUAUGCAACUAAAUGUUUUAAAUAUAGUAAUUCUAUGUAUAUAGAAUAUAGGUAUAGGGUGUUUCUGAUCUAAUGGUACAGCCGGAAAGGGGAUGAAUCUACAUGAACAAUGUCUGAUGUUGGUGAAGGGAAAUAAAAAUGAAUGUACAAUGACUACAGAUAUAAAAAGACUGAAUAUGCCUUUGUUCUCGAGAAAUAAUUUUGGAGGUCCCAGACAUCUCCAGGUGAGCUAAAGUUUGCAAUUGGUAUGACAGAACCGACACAGUUGAAUAAUUGUUUGACAAACUUGUAUUUUAAAAAGACCACUAGAAUUCAUUUUUUAAAUUCGAUUCUAGCGCCAUCUAUCCCAAUAUCGCGCAAACUAGUUGGCAAAUAAUUUCUGCGAUAUCUGGAUAAAUGGCGAUAGUGUUUCCACCUAUCGAUCGGUAAAUUGUCGAGUAGUUUGCGCUGUUUUCGAAUAGAUAGAGCUACGAUCGAAUUUAAGACCCUUUGGCGGGAAAUUUAAUUUAUAAUUAACGUGUGACGUUAUCAAAGACUGUCAACUUGCGUUAGACUAUUGCACUACAAAGUGUUUUACAUUUUUAUACUAGAAUAGAGAAGGUGCUCGUUUACAAGGCACAAAUUUAAGACUCCUUGAAAACAAAGGCAUGUCGAAAACAAAAAGCUCAUUCUUAGCACCUAACAGGAGAUGGUGUCACGUUUAUUUAUGCUAGGGUACUUAUUUAAAAAUAUAAAUUCAUUUGAAAACCAAGCUUUGUAUGAUAAAAUGUCACUUUACAUUUUCGGCUCAAUUUUGCACAUAGAUUCACACCCUCUUUAGUUAUGCUAGUAAGUCGGAAACAUCCAAUAUUUUAAGAUGAUUAUUCAUUGAAUGAGAGAACAUACCUG
Molecule: non-coding RNA, 2463 nt
Organism: Osmia lignaria (orchard mason bee)
Lineage: Eukaryota; Metazoa; Arthropoda; Insecta; Hymenoptera; Megachilidae
Source: RefSeq, a predicted model, not a curated record